RNAcentral lists this ribosomal RNA (562 nucleotides) under Anadara antiquata. RNAcentral's name for it is "partial small subunit ribosomal RNA". It matches the Rfam family "Bacterial small subunit ribosomal RNA", at positions 514 to 1363 of the family's 1533-position model. Lineage: Eukaryota; Metazoa; Mollusca; Bivalvia; Arcoida; Arcidae. The record is from RNAcentral.
GUUGCGGUUAUACUUCUGAUGAUCCCCCAGUUUGAUGAAAGCGGCUUAAAAGAUGGAUAGCGGAUAGGUUAUAGACGUGUAGGACAACUAGUACUAUGGGUCUUAUCUGGAGUACUUGCAGGACCGAUCAGGACGUGAACCAUGUAACCUGGGUAGAGGACCGGGAUUAGAUACCCCGUUACUCCUGGUGUCAAGCACAGUGAACUCUUUUUUGUGAUAUGCUUGCCGGGCAACUACGUCUUAAAGGGUAAAAGUCGAAGUAAUUGGCGGUCUAGAGAUUAACCAGCUCGCGAGACUUGACGGUUAAUCCGAUGAUCCGCGUAAAUUCUACUCUUUCUUGAAUUCCCAGUUGGUGUAUGGCCGUGUAGUGCUUCUUGAAAGGGAGUUGCGAGAUCCAUGCUCAUUGUUAGUAUACGUGGGCUUGUGGAGGAAGGCAGGUCGUCAUGCCGCCCAUGAAGGAGGCUUAGUUGAGUCACAUUGAAAUUAAAUCAAGCGGAACCGAGGAAGGAAGUAGCCCGGGGAAGAAGUAGUGGGUAGUAAGAAGAGAAUAAUUCGCUUUUUU